UACGUAGGGGGCUAGCGUUGUCCGGAAUUACUGGGCGUAAAGCGCACGUAGGCGGGUUCUUAAGUCGGUGGUGAAAUCCUGGAGCUCAACUCCAGAACUGCCUUCGAUACUGGGAAUCUUGAGUCCGGGAGAGGUGAGUGGAACUGCGAGUGUAGAGGUGAAAUUCGUAGAUAUUCGCAAGAACACCAGUGGCGAAGGCGGCUCACUGGCCCGGUACUGACGCUGAGGUGCGAAAGCGUGGGGAGCAAACAGG
RNAcentral lists this ribosomal RNA (253 nucleotides) under uncultured bacterium. RNAcentral describes it as "partial 16S ribosomal RNA". It matches the Rfam family "Bacterial small subunit ribosomal RNA", at positions 524 to 776 of the family's 1533-position model. The record is from RNAcentral.